RNAcentral lists this long non-coding RNA (780 nucleotides) under Rattus norvegicus (Norway rat). RNAcentral describes it as "long non-coding RNA NONRATT004706". The record is from RNAcentral. Lineage: Eukaryota; Metazoa; Chordata; Mammalia; Rodentia; Muridae.
GUUGCGCGUCCUCAGUAUUUAAUGUCUCUGUGUUCGCCCGGCCUGGGCUAGCACGUGGGGGAGCGGCCGAAGCGCCUUGCAGCGCUGCGGGGCAGGGCCGCUGGGCUAGGUGGGGGGCCCGGGGGCGGUGGCGGGAGGACUGUGCGCCUAGACGGUCGCCCCGGAGCAGUGCACAAUAACAUGCCUACGGAUGCUCCCUCCUUUCUGGAUCCACUCCUGUGUCUGGGGAGAACACAUCCUCCAGUACCUUGCUGAGAAAGUGAAUGUGCAUGGGUAGUACCAAGAAGCUGAUGUGUGAGGAGAGCCAGGGACCUCCGAGAGUGUGCACCAGGGAGUAUGGGACUGAGUUCAGGACUGCUCAACAAGGGCUCCCAAGCCAACAGGAGGCUUUCCCUUUUGGAAGAUGUGAAGGAGAAGAGAUCUGGAUUUGAGCACCCAGGUGGUGGUGACAGUGGUCACUGAGUGCAACCCGGCUAUGCUUGGCUCUUCAGUACUUAGUCUAAAGUCCUCUCAUCCCCGCACAAGAACUAGAACAUCCCUGCCUGCCUGAGAAAAUGGUACUCGUUUUCUGCUUAUUCCUCCAACCACCAGACAUUUUUUUUUCCUGCCCCUUGGACCAGCCAUUGACUACGUGGGCAGCAGAGCAGCUCACUAGGGAAGAGGUCAUGGGUUUUCACUUCCAAAAAAGUUGUGGAAGGUUCAUAGCUUACUCAUUUCUACCCUAUGCUGCCUAGUACUUGGACUUGUCAAUAAAUAUUUACUGAAUAGAAUGUUUCUCUU